CUUCCUAUUCUGGCUGGAAUUUGGGGAACCGUAAUCCCAAUCUGGAAGGGAAGCGGAAUGACAACCUGAAGGUUUCUGUUCACCAUGCUGAGAAGUGACCUGAGGAUGAUGAUUGAUGACAAAUCAAAGGAAUGUGAUGCCUUUGGAAGAGAGAACCAGACCUCUGCCUGAGUUUUUACCCACUGAACCUGAUAAAAUUCUAUUCUCAGGAUGGCUUAUUGUUUGGAAAUUUGAAGAAGCCAUAUGAAACACUGCAAAUGUUCCUGACCUGAACCUUGCAUUACUCAACAUCAUUGAACGAUCCUGCAUUCUAAUGUUGUGGCGGAGAGUAACAAGCCUUUCAACACACCUAUAUUCUUUUUUUCAUUUUUGAAAAUGAACUGAAUACUUUCCCUGGUUAAAAGAGUUGAGAA
This is a non-coding RNA of Pseudonaja textilis, 413 nucleotides long. The record is from RefSeq and is a predicted model, not a curated record. Lineage: Eukaryota; Metazoa; Chordata; Lepidosauria; Squamata; Elapidae.